GGGCAGGGGGAUGUGUUCCUGACCGCCUGCACCGGGAUGCCAAAGCAAAGACUACAAGAGGUGAUGAAGAGAGAGAUGAGACGCAGCUGCAAGAAGGUGUCAUGGCGGUCUUAUCUCCAAAUAAAGACGCCGAGGAAAGUGUACAUCACAGGAGAUGUCACUGGAUGGAUGAGAUAAAUUUCACAAACAUUGGUUUCAAUCACAUGACAAAAAACUGGCGCACAUUGUAAAACCAAUAAGACCAAUGGGCUUGAAAACCCAAUAACUGCAUAGCAUGGUGCAGCACUCUGUUGUAUCUUCACAGUUUGUGAUCAGACAUUUUUCGGG
Bufo gargarizans (Asiatic toad) is the source of this 327-nucleotide long non-coding RNA. RefSeq lists it as uncharacterized. Lineage: Eukaryota; Metazoa; Chordata; Amphibia; Anura; Bufonidae. The record is from RefSeq and is a predicted model, not a curated record. The transcript has 4 exons.